CGCCUUGCCAGCCCGCUCAGAAACUUAAAGGAAUUGACGGGGGCCCGCACAAGCGGUGGAGCAUGUGGUUUAAUUCGAUGAUACGCGAGGAACCUUACCUGGGCUCAAAUGUAUGUUGACGUAUUCUGAAAGGGAUACUUCUUCGGACAAUAUACAAGGUGCUGCAUGGUUGUCGUCAGCUCGUGCCGUGAGGUGUCGGGUUAAGUCCCAUAACGAGCGCAACCCCUACCUUUAGUUGCCAUCAGGUAAUGCUGGGGACUCUAAAGGAACUGCCUACGCAAGUAGUGAGGAAGGCGGGGAUGACGUCAAAUCAGCACGGCCCUUACGUCCAGGGCUACACACGUGCUACAAUGGCCGAUACAGAGGGCAGCUACCUGGUGACAGGAUGCAAAUCUCCAAAGUCGGUCUCAGUUCGGAUCGGAGUCUGCAACCCGACUCCGUGAAGUUGGAUUCGCUAGUAAUCGCGCAUCAGCCAUGGCGCGGUGAAUACGUUCCCGGGCCUU
This 503-nucleotide ribosomal RNA is filed under the name uncultured Sphingobacteriales bacterium. Its description in RNAcentral is "bacterial SSU rRNA". It matches the Rfam family "Bacterial small subunit ribosomal RNA", at positions 903 to 1382 of the family's 1533-position model. Lineage: Bacteria; Pseudomonadati; Bacteroidota; Sphingobacteriia; Sphingobacteriales. The record is from RNAcentral.